GCGCAGGCCGAGGCACGGCCCACCGAGUGGACGCCGCGGGUCCGGCUCCGCCGGCCCGCCAGCGUCGCCCCCUUCGAGGGGGAGC
Molecule: transfer RNA, 85 nt
Filed under: Methylibium petroleiphilum PM1
Lineage: Bacteria; Pseudomonadati; Pseudomonadota; Betaproteobacteria; Burkholderiales; Sphaerotilaceae
Description: tRNA-Leu
Source: RNAcentral